RNAcentral lists this ribosomal RNA (545 nucleotides) under uncultured Glomeromycotina. Its description in RNAcentral is "SSU rRNA". It matches the Rfam family "Eukaryotic small subunit ribosomal RNA", at positions 548 to 1098 of the family's 1831-position model. Lineage: Eukaryota; Fungi; Glomeromycota. The record is from RNAcentral.
UUGGAGGGCAAGUCUGGUGCCAGCAGCCGCGGUAAUUCCAGCUCCAAUAGCGUAUAUUAAAGUUGUUGCAGUUAAAAAGCUCGUAGUUGAAUUUCGGGGUUCUACCGUUGGUCGGGCAAUAGUCUGUACUGGCGUGUGGAAUUUCUACCUUCUGGGGAACCAUCAUGUUAUUAAUUUAGCGUGGUGGGAAACCAGGACCUUUACCUUGAAAAAAUUAGAGUGUUCAAAGCAGGCUUACGUCUGAAUACAUUAGCAUGGAAUAAUAAAAUAGGACGGUGGUCCUGUUUUGUUGGUUUCUGAAUCACCGUAAUGAUUAAUAGGGAUAGUUGGGGGCAUUAGUAUUCAAUUGUCAGAGGUGAAAUUCUUGGAUUUAUUGAAGACUAACUUCUGCGAAAGCAUUUGCCAAGGAUGUUUUCAUUAAUCAAGAACGAAAGUUAGGGGAUCGAAGACGAUCAGAUACCGUCGUAGUCUUAACCAUAAACUAUGCCGACUAGGGAUCGGACGAUGUUAAUUUUUCUUGACUCGUUCGGCGCCUUACGGGAAAC